CAGCCGCCGCGGUAAUACGAAGGGUGCAAGCGUUACUCGGAAUUACUGGGCGUAAAGCGUGCGUAGGUGGUCGUUUAAGUCCGUUGUGAAAGCCCUGGGCUCAACCUGGGAACUGCAGUGGAUACUGGGCGACUAGAAUGUGGUAGAGGGUAGCGGAAUUCCUGGUGUAGCAGUGAAAUGCGUAGAGAUCAGCAGGAACAUCCAUGGCGAAGGCAGCUACCUGGACCAACAAUGACACUGAGGCACGAAAGCAUGGGGAGCAAACAGGAUUAGAUACCCUGGUAGUCCACGCCCUAAACGAUGCGAACUGGAUGUUGGGUGCAAUUUGGCACGCAGUAUCGAAGCUAACGCGUUAAGUUCGCCGCCUGGGGAGUACGGUCGCAAGACUGAAACUUAAAGGAAUUGGCGGG
This 410-nucleotide ribosomal RNA is filed under the name uncultured microorganism. Its description in RNAcentral is "bacterial SSU rRNA". It matches the Rfam family "Bacterial small subunit ribosomal RNA", at positions 509 to 917 of the family's 1533-position model. The record is from RNAcentral.